AAAAAGAGAACCAGCACAUUACAAAGCGACCAUCCCCACAUCCAUUCCUAGGACGGGCCCUCAGGGCGGUGGGUGCAUCGUGAGGAGGGAGCGGCAUGGGAUGUUAGCACCAGGUAUUUACAGAACAGCUCGAGAGCGCUUCAGGAACGCGGGCAAGUCCAAUUUGCAGAGUGGCCAAAUGAGCAGUCCCCACCCAGCCAAACCUCAGAAAGCCAAUCAGAUGGUUUCAGAACAGCAGCCAGUGGGAUAUUCUCAGUCAAUCAAUUGGUGUUUGCUAGAACCGGGGUACGCAGGGGAGUGUUGAAGAGAGAGUGCGCGCGCGAGAAGAGAGAGAUCAAGAGAACGGGCAUCGCCAGCUGCCCGGGGGGCCUUCACUUUGCAGUCAUCAUCUGUACAAACUCUGUGGAGUGAAGCAGAGAGAGAGGAGAGAUCAAGCCUGGCCUUGACUCACCUUCAUAAUUGACCUGGCCAUCUCCAUCGAUGUCAGCCUCCCUGAUCAUCUCAUCCACCUCCUCAUCGGUCAGCUUCUCCCCCAGGUUCGUCAUUACGUGACGCAGCUCUGCGGCGCUGAUGUAGCC
Molecule: long non-coding RNA, 578 nt
Filed under: Homo sapiens (human)
Lineage: Eukaryota; Metazoa; Chordata; Mammalia; Primates; Hominidae
Description: HSALNT0398316
Source: RNAcentral